AUUGAACGCUGGCGGCAGGCUUAACACAUGCAAGUCGAACGAGUGGCGGACGGGUGAGUAAUGUCUGGGAAACUGCCCGAUGGAGGGGGAUAACUACUGGAAACGGUAGCUAAUACCGCAUACUAUCGGAUGUGCCCAGAUGGGAUUAGCUAGUAGGGGGGGUAAAGGCCAACCAAGGCGACGAUCCGUAGCUGGUCUGAGAGGAUGACCAGCCACACUGGAACUGAGACACGGUCCAGACUCCUACGGGAGGCAGCAGUGGGGAAUUUUGGACAAUGGGGGAAACCCUGAUCCAGCCAUGCCGCGUGUGUGAUGAAGGUCUUCGGGUUGUAAAGCACUUUUGGUUGAGAGGCGUUACCAGCAGAAUAAGCACCGGCUAACUACGUGCCAGCAGCCGCGGUAAUUC
RNAcentral lists this ribosomal RNA (406 nucleotides) under uncultured bacterium. RNAcentral's name for it is "partial 16S ribosomal RNA". It matches the Rfam family "Bacterial small subunit ribosomal RNA", at positions 30 to 526 of the family's 1533-position model. The record is from RNAcentral.